GGUGUCAGACAGCCGCUCGCCGAUCCGUCGGCGGGAGGAAAGUCCGAGCACGGUAGGACAAUGGUGGUGGGUAAUCCCCACCGGCCCUUGGCUGCGGGUCAGGGACAGUGCCACAGAAAAUAAACCGCCACGUUCGAAAGAGCGCGGUAAGGGUGCAACGGUGCGGUAAGAGCGCACCGCUCGACCGGUGACGGGCGAGGCAGGGCAAACCCCACCACGUGCAAGCGCAAGCAGCUCACUUCUCGGUUCGCCGAGAUCCCAUGGUUCAUGGGCGUGGAGCGGGUCGCGUGCUAGAUCCGAAUGGCAACAUUCGGAGUAGAGAAAUGGCUGUCAACGAGGUUUCCUCGUUCCAGAACUCGGCUUACGGCACCAAUG
This 375-nucleotide RNase P RNA is filed under the name Planctomycetota bacterium. RNAcentral's name for it is "Planctomycetes bacterium RNase P RNA component class A". It matches the Rfam family "Bacterial RNase P class A". From Rfam's summary of the family: Ribonuclease P (RNase P) is a ubiquitous endoribonuclease, found in archaea, bacteria and eukarya as well as chloroplasts and mitochondria. Its best characterised activity is the generation of mature 5'-ends of tRNAs by cleaving the 5'-leader elements of precursor-tRNAs. Lineage: Bacteria; Pseudomonadati; Planctomycetota. The record is from RNAcentral.